This 465-nucleotide ribosomal RNA is filed under the name uncultured bacterium. RNAcentral's name for it is "partial 16S ribosomal RNA". It matches the Rfam family "Bacterial small subunit ribosomal RNA", at positions 28 to 507 of the family's 1533-position model. The record is from RNAcentral.
GACGAACGCUGGCGGCGUGCUUAACACAUGCAAGUCGAACGGAAAGGCCCCUUUGGGGGUACUCGAGUGGCGAACGGGUGAGUAACACGUGCGUAACCUGCCCUUGACUUCGGGAUAACUUCAGGAAACUGGGGCUAAUACCGGAUAGGAAUCCUUGCUGCAUGGUGGGGGUUGGAAAGCUUCGGCGGUUUUGGAUGGACUCGCGGCUUAUCAGCUUGUUGGUGGGGUAGUGGCUUACCAAGGCUUUGACGGGUAGCCGGCCUGAGAGGGCGACCGGCCACAUUGGGACUGAGAUACGGCCCAGACUCCUACGGGAGGCAGCAGUGGGGAAUAUUGCACAAGGGGCGGAAGCCGGAUGCAGCAACGCCGCGUGCGGGAUGACGGCCUUCGGGUUGUAAACCGCUUUCAGCAGGGGCGAAGCUUGUGGUGACGGUACCUGCAGAAGAAGCACCGGCUAACUACGUG